This 664-nucleotide long non-coding RNA is filed under the name Salmo salar (Atlantic salmon). Its description in RNAcentral is "lncRNA (ENSSSAG00000098322.1)". The record is from RNAcentral. Lineage: Eukaryota; Metazoa; Chordata; Actinopteri; Salmoniformes; Salmonidae.
CUAAACUAUACCAAAACAAAUUUCACACAUGAAAAUAGUUAUCCUGUAGACAAGGUUACGUUUACAAUAAUCUGAUGAGUGACAAUAUUAGGCCUAUCAGUUGUCAUAUUGAACAUGAAGAGAUGUGAGCAUCUUGUAAUUGACAGAUGCAGUGAAAGGAGCAUCUCUUUAUCAAAUCCUCAUUCAGAGUCACAUGCAGGUAACACAUUGUGAUUUCUAUAUAGUACUGUAUCUGAAAGAGCAGAUUCUGCAGGUUAAACAUUGUGAUUUCUAUAUAAUACUGUAUCUGAAAGAGCAGAUUCUGCAGGUUAAACAUUGUGAUUUCUAUAUAAUACUGUAUCUGAAAGAGCAGAUUCUGCAGGUUAAACAUUGUGAUUUCUAUAUAGUACUGUAUCUGAAAGAGCAUAUUCUGCAGGUUAAACAUUGUGAUUUCUAUAUAAUACUGUAUCUGAAAGAGCAGAUUCUGCAGGUAAAACAUUGUGAUUUCUAUAUAAUACUGUAUCUGAGAGAGCAGAUUCUGCAGGUUAAACAUUGUGAUUUCUAUAUAGUACUGUAUCUGAAAGAGCAGAUUCUGCAGGUUAAACAUUGUGAUUUCUAUAUAGUACUGUAUCUGAAAGAGCAGAUUCUGCAGUUUCCUUGACACUUACCUUUAUCAAAUAACUCU